RNAcentral lists this ribosomal RNA (406 nucleotides) under uncultured bacterium. Its description in RNAcentral is "partial 16S ribosomal RNA". It matches the Rfam family "Bacterial small subunit ribosomal RNA", at positions 30 to 526 of the family's 1533-position model. The record is from RNAcentral.
AUUGAACGCUGGCGGCAGGCCUAACACAUGCAAGUCGGGCGAGUGGCGGACGGGUGAGUAAUGUCUGGGGAACUGCCUGAUGGAGGGGGAUAACUACUGGAAACGGUAGCUAAUACCGCAUACCAUCAGAUGAACCCAGAUGGGAUGAGCUGGUAGGUGAGGUAACGGCUUACCUAGGCGACGAUCCCUAGCUGGUCUGAGAGGAUGAUCAGCCACACUGGGACUGAGACACGGCCCAGCUUCCUACGGGAGGCAGCAGUGGGGAAUAUUGCACAAUGGGCGCAAGCCUGAUGCAGCCAUGCCGCGUGUAUGAAGAAGGCCUGCGGGUUGUAAAGUACUUUCAGUCGGGAGGCGUUACCGACAGAAGAAGCACCGGCUAACUCCGUGCCAGCAGCCGCGGUAAUAC